This 406-nucleotide ribosomal RNA is filed under the name uncultured bacterium. Its description in RNAcentral is "partial 16S ribosomal RNA". It matches the Rfam family "Bacterial small subunit ribosomal RNA", at positions 30 to 526 of the family's 1533-position model. The record is from RNAcentral.
AUUGAACGCUGGCGGCAGGCCUAACACAUGCAAGUCGAACGAGUGGCGGACGGGUGAGUAAUGUAUGGGAAACUGCCCGAUGGCGGGGGAUAACUACUCGAAACGGUAGCUAAUACCGCAUACCAUCGGAUGUGCCCAUAUGGGAUUAGCUAGUUGGUGGGGUAAAGGCUCACCUAGGCGACGAUCCCUAGCUGGUCUGAGAGGAUGACCAGCCACACUGGGACUGAGACACGGUCCAGACUCCUACGGGAGGCAGCAGUGGGGAAUAUUGCACAAUGGGGGAAAGCCUGAUGCAGCCAUGCCGCGUGUAUGAAGAAGGCCUUCGGGUUGUAAAGUACUUUAAGCGGGGAGGCGUUACCCGCAGAAGAAGCACCGGCUAACUCCGUGCCAGCAGCCGCGGUAAUAC